UUAAAUGUGAACAAACUGUAAUUGCUUUUGAAUCGAAAUUAAUAAACUAAAAGUAAUCGAUUAGAAUAAGAAUAGGAUACGCUUUUAGAAAUGUAACUGCAUUAUAUUACUGAGCAUUUGAGAUUUAAAAAAAAAUUGUACUAAUUUAAGAUGCUUCGAAAUUACUUGAAAUUAUUCAGAUAAAUUUCGUAUUGUGCUUCUUUAUACUUGAGUAUGUAAAAAAAAUACCCACUUCAUAACGCUAAAAAAUAUGAAAUGAGUUGAGGCAAAGCCUUUUAUUCUAUCUGAAAUCGAAACAAAAAACGCGCGGAAUAAUAUCUCUGUAAUUCAUAGCCUUUCAAAACAUACGAUUUUCUAAAUAGUCAGUUGCCCGCUCAAAUGUUUUCAAACUAUUGGUAACUUUCUAAAAUUCAUGAAAAUAUGCACAUUUAAUGCGGAAGAAAUAUUCAUAAUCUCUGAAUAUUCCACUCGAGUAGUUUCUAAGCGACGAAAAUGCCAUAAUUAUGUGGAUUCUACAUGGUACAGUCUAAUAUGACAGAGGAAACAAUCAUGGCAGUUGUUCUCUUGUGCCCUCUUCUAUAAAUGAACAGAAUGCAUUAAUGUAAAUUUGGCAAGUGUUCUGAGUCAAAGCAUUGGGAAUAUUAGUGGAAAAGUUUAAAUCAAAGAUCUAUAAUACCAGACAGUUUCUGUUCGGUUACUUGGCGUUUUUCACACAUCAAUGGGAAGUGCAACGUCAUAGAAAUCAUCAACGAAACAAAAUCGCCUGCGGUUGUUGGAUCUGUUGUCUGUAAAGAACACUUUAUGCUGUAUAUUGGAAACAAUGGCCAAUGCCAGUAUGUAUAGCGACUGACUUUCCUCUUGACAAAAAUAUGGAUGGCAGCUGCCUGGAUGGGACACGAAAGUUUUUCUCAGUUUCGUACAGAAGUAAUAUUGGUAUUGAUAGGCUGGAUAACAUGACCUAUAUCCAUGCCAUUUUGCUUCAUAAAGGCACUCCGUUAACUACCAGUAGUGUUGCUUUCUGUUACUUUCACACAGCAGUUCACUGAAGUAUUUCUUUCAGAUGAUGUUGAAGGUGGUGACAAAAUUCAAAGGCAAGUAAGUUCGCUAUUUAUAUUAAAAUAGCAUAGAAUUUGGAAAACCUUUUUUAAUUGGUUCGUAUAGAAAGUCUGCAAAAAAAUCCAAAACAUAAUUAUUUUGAAAUAUUUAUUGAAAUAGAUGCAGUCUUUUCAGCUACUUCUCAUCAUUUGAAUUACUGGAAUUGAAACAGUCGUAUUUGCUCUUGACUACAGGAUUCGAAGUAAUUGAAAGCCUCAGAAUAGUUAACAUGUGACAAACAUCUGCAUGUAAUUGUCACAAGGGAGCUACUGCAUGGCUGAAGAACAGUUUCCGGUAAUCUAUACCAAGACAUGCUGACAUGUUUUAAAUGAAGUGAUCACGGCACAACAGAUAUCUGAUGCUGUUAACAAGUGUAUGUCGGAAUUUGAAUUCCGUGCGAUUGAAUCGUGAAUAGAGAUCCAGCAGGUUUAAUCGACAAUUUGAGCUUGGACUAAUAUUUCAAGCUUUACAAAAUCUUAUCUUUAGAACCGAAAACUUAUUCAGAUUUCUUAUACGUUUCAACGUGUAUUAAAAGCGUUAAGUAGUUUUUGAGCGACGAGUGUCGGAAUUAGACUGACUUCACAUGAAUAUUUUUGCACACAUUUUAACAAAUGAACAGAAAGAACAAAUGUUAAUUUGAAUGAUUUUUUUGUAGUGAUAGUAGCAAGAGCUUUGAUAAUAUCACUUCAAACAAUUUUACUUAUGCCAAGAAGAUACUCUAUUUCUUAGUAUUUACUCAAGUGAGACAAAAUGUCAUCAAUCAAAACCGAGACGAAAUCGCCUGCAAUUGAUACUGGAGCAGCGAACUGUGUAGAGAAUCUGUCGUCUAUUUGAACAAAAUUUUAAUACGGAAUGAACACAUUUUCUGCUCCAGCAACAACUUUUUUCUAUAUGUAGAAGGUACCUGGAUGAUCCGUAGAGAACAUCACCAAUGUGAUAUCGGUCAGACAACUCACGACCAUUAAUGUCGUUUUCCUGGUUUAAGAACAUGCCGUCACCAUCGAUAAUACGCCUUUCAAGAUUCCAAACACUCCUACAAUAGACACCAGUUCUACUUGAUGCGGGGAGGAUAUUUCCUUAAGAUGAGUUCGAAGUACAUGGAAUUCAAGGAGAUGCUUAUUUACUGAAUCAUAACAAUAAAACUAGCACAAGGUGACACCCGAUGUUGACUUGUUUUGACCGAAGUGAUCAUGCCACAACAUACAGUUUCUAUUAAGAAGUUUCAACAUGAAGUUUCUAUUAAGCGUAAAUUCCAAUUCGGAGCCUUUGGAGUUAAUUAUAUUCGGAAAAACAUAUGCAGGUGGUUUGUAAAAUUAUGAGUAUGUAUAUUUACUACCAAAAAUUAUGUCUGUAUAGUGGAAAUGUUCUUACAAAUGUAAUGGCCAUUAUUUGAGCAUAUCAAAACAUCUUUGAAAUGUCACUUAGCACUUUAAGAACAAGAUAGUAAAUGUUUUUAUUUUCGAAAUUUGGUGAAGCUUGAAGUGGACGGAAUAUUUAUCAUCCAAAACAAGCGUUAGGCAUACCAAUCGAUAUUUCAUCUUAAAGUUGUGUAGAAAGUUUCGUAUACCUACUUAAAGCGAUUUCAAAAUAAUGCUCUGCAUUCAUUUCCUUCAGGCGUCAUGCUUGAUUUCUACUUCGUCGAGAAACAAGCAUUUUUAAAACAAUCGAGGUCGAUGAACUUGUUCUGUGUAGAUAAAUUAAAAUUUAAUGGUAUAUCUGAUUUUCCUAGAAAUAAUCUGAAUCCAUUUUCCAACAAGACUGAAUGUUUAAUUCAUUAUUUUUCUUCAAAAUGGGUAAAAUUCGCUUUGAAGUUGCAUUAGUAACCAUAAUCUCUUAUUGGAGCUCAACAAAUUGACAAACAGGACUUUCAUUGUCCCACCAAUAUAGGGAGGAAUUGCAACAACUGCCAUAGAACUGUCAUUUCUUUGAAAUAAGAACUAAAAUCAUUUCAUUUGCAUUGUGCUUUCUUCUAUUGUCAAUCACUUCAACCGUUUCAUGCUAUUAUGAAUUUUUAAGAUUACUUUUCAUCACCGAUUGCUGUAACGAAGUUUGAAAAAUUGAAUUUUAUUGUUAUGAAUGGAUUAACUGUAGUUCACAUCAGCAUAACGGUUUUCUGUAUACUUCUCAAUUUAUCAACAAAUGUUAUAAAAAUUGUAAUCCUUUGUUUUCAUUUUGAACUGA
This is a long non-coding RNA of Argiope bruennichi, 3276 nucleotides long. RefSeq lists it as uncharacterized. NCBI's taxonomy places the organism in Eukaryota, Metazoa, Arthropoda, Arachnida, Araneae, Araneidae. The record is from RefSeq and is a predicted model, not a curated record. The transcript has 5 exons.